This 378-nucleotide ribosomal RNA is filed under the name uncultured eukaryote. RNAcentral describes it as "partial 18S ribosomal RNA". It matches the Rfam family "Eukaryotic small subunit ribosomal RNA", at positions 592 to 976 of the family's 1831-position model. The record is from RNAcentral.
CAAUAGCGUAUAUUUAAGUUGUUGCAGUUAAAAAGCUCGUAGUUGGAUUUCGGGUGGGACGCAGCGGUCUCGCAUUGCGUUUGUACUGCUGCAGCCCUCCUUCUUGCCGGGGGCGGCCUCUCGGACUUCACUGUCUGGGGGUCAGAAUCGGCGAUGUUACUUUGAGUAAAUUAGAGUGUUCAAAGCAAGCUUACGCUCUGAAUAUAAUAGCAUGGGAUAACAUGACAGGACUCUGGCCUAUCGUGUUGGUCUAUAGGACCAGAGUAAUGAUUAAGAGGGACAGUCGGGGGCAUUCGUAUUCCGUUGUCAGAGGUGAAAUUCUUGGAUUUACGGAAGACGAACAUCUGCGAAAGCAUUUGCCAAGGAUGUUUUCAUUGA